This 90-nucleotide transfer RNA is filed under the name Bdellovibrionales bacterium. Its description in RNAcentral is "tRNA-Ser". It matches the Rfam family "tRNA". Rfam says of the family: Transfer RNA (tRNA) molecules are approximately 80 nucleotides in length. Their secondary structure includes four short double-helical elements and three loops (D, anti-codon, and T loops). Lineage: Bacteria; Pseudomonadati; Bdellovibrionota; Bdellovibrionia; Bdellovibrionales. The record is from RNAcentral.
GGAGAGGUGGCUGAGUGGUUGAAGGCGCACGGCUGGAACCCGUGUUGGCGGGAAACUGUCACCAGAGUUCGAAUCUCUGUCUCUCCGCCA